RNAcentral lists this ribosomal RNA (292 nucleotides) under uncultured bacterium. RNAcentral's name for it is "partial 16S ribosomal RNA". It matches the Rfam family "Bacterial small subunit ribosomal RNA", at positions 505 to 796 of the family's 1533-position model. The record is from RNAcentral.
GUGUCAGCCGCCGCGGUAAUACGUAAGUGGCGAGCGUUAUCCGGAAUUACUGGGCGUAAAGCGUGCGUAGGCGGUUUAGUGUGUGGGAAUUGAAAGCCCGGGGCUCAACUCCGGAUCCGGUUCCCAAACUACUAGACUCGAGAGUAUCAGAGGAGAGCGGAAUUCCCGGUGUAGCGGUAAUAUGCGUAGAUAUCGGGAGGAACACCAGUGGCGAAGGCGGCUCUCUGGGGUAUUUCUGACGCUGAGGCACGAAAGCCAGGGGAGCGAACGGGAUUAGAAACCCGCGUAGUCC